RNAcentral lists this unclassified non-coding RNA (228 nucleotides) under uncultured fungus. Its description in RNAcentral is "sequence contains ITS1, 5.8S rRNA gene". The stretch from base 180 to 228 matches the Rfam family "5.8S ribosomal RNA", at positions 1 to 49 of the family's 154-position model. Lineage: Eukaryota; Fungi. The record is from RNAcentral.
UUUCCGUAGGUGAACCUGCGUAGGGAUCAUUACUGAGUGAGGGCCUUCGGGCUCGACCUCCAACCCUUUGUGAACCAAACUUGUUGCUUCGGGGGCGACCCUGCCGCAUCGGCGGUGCGGCGCCCCCGGAGGCCAUUAAACACUGCAUCAUUGCGUCGGAGUUAAAGUAAAUUAAACAAAACUUUCAACAACGGAUCUCUUGGUUCCAGCAUCGAUGAAGAACGCAGC